Long non-coding RNA from Glossina fuscipes, 763 nucleotides. RefSeq lists it as uncharacterized. The transcript is spliced from 3 exons. NCBI's taxonomy places the organism in Eukaryota, Metazoa, Arthropoda, Insecta, Diptera, Glossinidae. The record is from RefSeq and is a predicted model, not a curated record.
AUUCAUUGGUCUCCCGUAUAGCACGCAAGACGGUUUACAAUAUGUUGUGUUGUAUGUGCAAUUAUUUUGAUGGCGUUGGUUCUUGUUGUAAAUAUCCUUAUGUAGAUGACUUAUUAAGUGAACUAUUGGCAUGGCCCAGUUUUGGCUAAAGAUUUUUUUAGUACGAAGGAAGAAGAAACUCUGAUGCCACAAAGGUUGUGUAUCAAGUGCGCAAAUUUAUUAAAAUAUAUUUACGUCUUCCUCUUAGAGGUGCAAAAGUUACACGAAAUAUAUUUGAAUCAAGCAAGGAAUUUAAAAAAUUUUGUGAAAAAGAUGUUGGUCCACCGGACGGUUACGAACACGCUCAGUCAGAUGUUAUUUUAAGAUUGGAUUAUGAUGAGGACACAAGAAGAGGAUCAAACAAGAAAACUUUCAACUGAAGCUUCUGAAGUUAUCAAGUUGGUUUGGAGUGAAACUGCCUUAAACUAUAAAACAGAAAGUGAAAGGAGGUUUUGCCUUGAAAACGAUAAUAUUCGCAGCUAUCACUAGCAAAAGCAACCGAGGAUGCAACCUUAAAAUCCAGUCUUGCUACCAGUUGAGAAUAUUGAUCACGUCUGUCUCCUAAUUAACAUCGAUUCAUGAUUCGAUGCAGUCUAAUUGAGAAGAGUAACGGUUCUGCAAAUUGAAGAUCUGCGAAAAUGCUCUUAGAGCUUCUAACGAGACGGCAUCCAUAAACUACCCGGCAAGAAACAAAAGACCACAAAUAACGACGGUAAACAUUUUA